UACGUAGGGGGCAAGCGUUGUCCGGAAUCAUUGGGCGUAAAGCGCGUGUAGGCGGCCCGAUAAGUCCGCUGUGAAAGUCCAGGGCUCAACCCUGGGAUGCCGGUGGAUACUGUCGGGCUCGAGUCCGGAAGAGGCGAGUGGAAUUCCUGGUGUAGCGGUGAAAUGCGCAGAUAUCAGGAGGAACACCAAUGGCGAAGGCAGCUCGCUGGGACGUGACUGACGCUGAGACGCGAAAGCGUGGGGAGCAAACAGGA
RNAcentral lists this ribosomal RNA (254 nucleotides) under uncultured prokaryote. RNAcentral's name for it is "partial 16S ribosomal RNA". It matches the Rfam family "Bacterial small subunit ribosomal RNA", at positions 524 to 777 of the family's 1533-position model. The record is from RNAcentral.